This 420-nucleotide ribosomal RNA is filed under the name Bacillus sp. oral taxon F28. RNAcentral's name for it is "bacterial SSU rRNA". It matches the Rfam family "Bacterial small subunit ribosomal RNA", at positions 28 to 424 of the family's 1533-position model. Lineage: Bacteria; Bacillati; Bacillota; Bacilli; Caryophanales; Bacillaceae. The record is from RNAcentral.
GACGAACGCUGGCGGCGUGCCUAAUACAUGCAAGUCGAGCGCGGGAAGCUUGCGGAAUCCUUCGGGAGGAAGUGAGCGGACCGAGCGGCGGACGGGUGAGUAACACGUGGGCAACCUGCCCGUAAGACGGGGAUAACCCCGGGAAACCGGGGCUAAUACCGGAUAGGUGACCUUUCUGCAUGGAGGGGUCAUGAAAGGCGGCGGAAGCCGUCGCUUACGGAGGGGCCCGCGGCGCAUUAGCUAGUUGGUGAGGGAAGGGCUCACCAAGGCGACGAUGCGUAGCCGGCCUGAGAGGGUGAACGGCCACACUGGGACUGAGACACGGCCCAGACUCCUACGGGAGGCAGCAGUAGGGAAUCUUCCGCAAUGGACGGAAGUCUGACGGAGCAACGCCGCGUGAGUGAGGAAGGCCUUCGGGUG